RNAcentral lists this ribosomal RNA (253 nucleotides) under uncultured bacterium. Its description in RNAcentral is "partial 16S ribosomal RNA". It matches the Rfam family "Bacterial small subunit ribosomal RNA", at positions 524 to 776 of the family's 1533-position model. The record is from RNAcentral.
UACGGAGGGGGCUAGCGUUGUUCGGAAUUACUGGGCGUAAAGCGCGCGUAGGCGGCUUUGUAAGUUAGAGGUGAAAGCCCGGAGCUUAACUCCGGAACUGCCUUUAAGACUGCAUCGCUAGAAUCGUGGAGAGGUGAGUGGAAUUCCGAGUGUAGAGGUGAAAUUCGUAGAUAUUCGGAAGAACACCAGUGGCGAAGGCGACUCACUGGACACGUAUUGACGCUGAGGUGCGAAAGCGUGGGGAGCGAACAGG